RNAcentral lists this ribosomal RNA (334 nucleotides) under uncultured Bacillota bacterium. RNAcentral describes it as "bacterial SSU rRNA". It matches the Rfam family "Bacterial small subunit ribosomal RNA", at positions 28 to 351 of the family's 1533-position model. The record is from RNAcentral. Lineage: Bacteria; Bacillati; Bacillota.
GACGAACGCUGGCGGCGUGCCUAAUACAUGCAAGUCGAGCGAACAUCAGAGGAGCUUGCUCCUCUGAUGUUAGCGGCGGACGGGUGAGUAACACGUGGGCAACCUGCCCUAUAGUUUGGGAUAACUUGCGGAAACGUGAGCUAAUACCGAAUAAUACAACGAAGCUCCUGCUUCGAUGUUGAAAGAUGGCUUUGCUAUCGCUAUAGGAUGGGCCCGCGGCGCAUUAGCUAGUAGGUGAGGUAACGGCUCACCUAGGCAACGAUGCGUAGCCGACCUGAGAGGGUGAUCGGCCACACUGGGACUGAGACACGGCCCAGACUCCUACGGGUGGCUG